AUUGAACGCUGGCGGCAUGAUUUACACAUGCAAGUCGAACGGUAACAGGCCGCCAGGUGCUGACGAGUGGCGAACGGGUGAGUAAUGCAUCGGAACGUGCCCAGUCGUGGGGGAUAACUACUCGAAAGAGUAGCUAAUACCGCAUACGAUCUAUGGAUGAAAGCGGGGGACCGUAAGGCCUCGCGCGAUUGGAGCGGGCGCUGUCAGAUUAGUUAGUUGGUGGGGUAAAGGCUCACCAAGCCAACGAUCUGUAGCUGGUCUGAGAGGACGACCGGCCACACUGGGACUGAGACACGGCCCAGACUCCUACGGGAGGCAGCAGUGGGGAAUUUUGGACAAUGGGCGCAAGCCUGAUCCAGCAAUGCCGCGUGCAGGAAGAAGGCCUUCGGGUUGUAAACUGCUUUUGUACGGAACGAAACGGCUCUGGUUAAUACCCGGGGCUAAUGACGGUACCGUAAGAAUAAGCACCGGCUAACUACGUG
RNAcentral lists this ribosomal RNA (482 nucleotides) under uncultured bacterium. RNAcentral describes it as "partial 16S ribosomal RNA". It matches the Rfam family "Bacterial small subunit ribosomal RNA", at positions 30 to 507 of the family's 1533-position model. The record is from RNAcentral.